AGAAUAAAAUGAUAAUGUGAAUCAAGCUGGCAUUAUUUAGGGCAUGCAAGGUGAGAUGGUGGACUAAGUUGGAGUAAAUGUUGAAAAUAAAAACAGUCGUGAAAAUAGUACUUUCCUGCAGCAUCACAUUGUCACGGCAAAUAGAGAGGAAGCUACUAAUUAUGUAAUAAAAAAUCGAGUUUAAAGAAUACCAAAGAAUCAAGAAUCGAGAGCCAGUAAAUACAUCUGGUGUUAAAAAGUGAAUAUUAAAAGUGUACAGCGUAUCAUACAUAAUUGUAAAAAGUGCUCAAAAUUGUACAAAAGUGUUAUAAGUGUACAAUAACGUACAUCGCGUACAGUGUGUACAGCAAUAACGUGAUGAGUUUAAGAACAAAUUAUUACCAUGUGACAUACUAUUGGGAUUUAAAUCGUGCGCAAUGUUGUGUGAUUGUGAUUAAGACCUGGUAAAUAUCGCGAGCAGGCGCGAGUAUGGAGUUUGACCGGCAGUCGCUGGAAGCUUGGCAGCGGGAUCAGCCGCUGUCAGUUCUACAGCUAGAUCCAGCUGACAGAGCUGUACUUAGAAUAGCAGGUAUGUGACCUUAUGUAUCAACUUUCAGUUUGUUGUUUAUAUGGAAUCAUGGUUAAGUUGAACCAGGUAUUUUUUUGUUUUCUUUAACCUAAUUUUAAAUUCAAAUAUUGACUCAAUAUCGUAGAAA
This is a long non-coding RNA of Eurytemora carolleeae, 695 nucleotides long. RefSeq lists it as uncharacterized. The record is from RefSeq and is a predicted model, not a curated record. The transcript is spliced from 3 exons. NCBI's taxonomy places the organism in Eukaryota, Metazoa, Arthropoda, Copepoda, Calanoida, Temoridae.